This 475-nucleotide ribosomal RNA is filed under the name uncultured bacterium. RNAcentral's name for it is "SSU rRNA". It matches the Rfam family "Bacterial small subunit ribosomal RNA", at positions 26 to 518 of the family's 1533-position model. The record is from RNAcentral.
AGGACGAACGCUGGCGGCGUGCUUAACACAUGCAAGUCGAGCGGAAAGGCCCUUCGGGGUACUCGAGCGGCGAACGGGUGAGUAACACGUGAGCAACCUGCCCCUGGCUCUGGGAUAGCCUCCGGAAACGGGGAUUAAUACCGGACAUUCACUUUCUUCCGCAUGGUCGGGAGUGGAAAGUUUUUUCGGCCGGGGAGGGGCUCGCGGCCUAUCAGCUUGUUGGCGGGGUAACGGCCCACCAAGGCGACGACGGGUAGCCGGCCUGAGAGGGCGACCGGCCACACUGGGACUGAGACACGGCCCAGACUCCUACGGGAGGCAGCAGUGGGGAAUAUUGCGCAAUGGGCGAAAGCCUGACGCAGCGACGCCGCGUGGGGGAUGAAGGCCUUCGGGUUGUAAACCCCUUUCAGCAGGACGAAGCGAAAGUGACGGUACCUGCAGAAGAAGCGCCGGCUAACUACGUGCCAGCAGCCGC